ACGAAAUGGAAAGGGUUAAGAGGAGAUUUUGAAGAAAUCAAGAAGCUAAACCAUGGAUAUAAGUAAAAACUUACCUAGGAUGAUGAUUUUUGGUGAAGAGUCCUCUUGAAAGCACACACCAACUCGAGAUUUUUGAUGGAAGAGGGAAGAUGUUUUUGAGAGUGUUUAAGAGAGUUUUUGAAAGAAAAAUGAAGGUGGUGAGAGGGUUAGCCGAGAAUAUGGAGAGAAGGGAGAGAGAGAUCAUAACCUUGUUAUUUGUGAGGUAAUAGUUAGUCUUGAAACAUGAGAUGCUACCAUAGAUAUAUGGUGGUUAAACAUGAGUUGUCACAUGCAUGUUUGGUCUUCAUUUAUCCAUUCUUUUUUUUUGUAUUUAAUAAACAUGGGCCGAUUUGGGCUAAAGAGAAAGGAAAGAAAUCAUCUUGGGCCCAUACUCGAAUUUAUGAAGCCCAAAAAUAAAUUUUCGGCCCAUAUGGGGCAAAUGAAAUCUUUUAUGGCCCAACAAGGCUCAUUAGAGGUAAGAUGGAUGGUUUUAGGCCCACAUGGCCCAAAAUGCUAAAGUUUUAUGAGUGUGGUCUAUUUAGAGCCCAAUUAGGGCUUCUAGACCUAAUAGGAGAAUUUUUAGUUCAUAAGGAACUUGGACCGGGAUUACUAAGGUUUCCAACCCUUAGUUAAACAUAUGAGGCGUAUUUUGAACGAGGAUAGAGUAUUGUAUUCACUUAGAGUACAUGCUUUUACAAUGGAUGAUGUUUAUAUGAGAAUAUAAUUUCCUAGCUAAAAAUGCUAGUUGUGACAUCAUCCCCCCGUUAGAGGGAAUUUCGUCCCGAAAUUCUUUCUAAGGAUAGGUUCGUGUAUGAGAGAAUAGGCACUUCAUCUGUUCUUCACGUUUCCCAUGUGAAUUUCGGUCCACGCUUAGCGUUCAAUGGAACCUUCACAAUCAUAAUGGGGCUUUGUUUUGUAUGUUCUACUUCCCUAUCCAAUACCUCGUCUGGUUCUUUGACGAACAUGAGAUUCUUGCUUGCUCCGAUUUCUCGUAAAGGAAUGAUAAGAGUCUCAUCUGAUAUGUAUCUUUUCAGAUUUAAGACACAGAACACAGGGUUUACGUUGCUGAGCUCUACAGGCAGCUACAACCUAUAUGUCUUUGGACCAAUUCGAGCAAGCAUCUCGAACAGUCCGAUGUAUCGUGGGUUUAGUUUUCUCGGUUCCUAAAGCGAAUCAUUCAAUUCCCAGGAGAUUCCUUUAAUAACACGCGAUCCCCGACUUGCCAUCCUAAUGGCUUACGCCGCUUGUCAGCAUAGCUCUUUUAUCGGUCUCGCGAUGCUUGAGGUCCAGCUUUGAUUUGGAUUAUCCUCUCUGUUGUUUCGUUAGUGGUUUCUGGUCUCAUGAGAGUACUACCGAGUGAUAUGCAUUUAUGACUAUAAAGAGUUUUCGAAAGGAGCAUUCUUGAUGCUCGUGCGAUAGUUGUUAUUGUAUGAGAAUUUAGUCAAGGGAAACCGGGUAUCCCCUGACUUGUUGAACUCAAACACCUAGACUUGUAGCAUGAAUUUGAGUGGUCGAAUGGUUCGUUCACUUUGGCUAUUGGUUUGAAGGUGGUAAGCAACGCUUAUGUCUAGUUAUGUGCCCAUAGCCCUCUGAAGUGACUGCCAUAGUCUUGAAGAAGAUCUGUUAUCUCGAUCCGAGAUAGUAGAUACCGAUAUUUCAUGGAGUCUCACAAUCUCCUUGAUAUAAAUCCCAACUAAUCUUUCCGUCUUGUUUGAUUUCUGUAUUGUCAGGAAACGGGCGGAUUGGGUUAACCUAUCAACGAUCACCCGGAUAAUGCCCAUCUCAACUUGCGUAACUAUAAGUUCGUCCCUCGACUUCAAGAGUUUUAUCCGUCCAUGUAGUGUUUUCUUCACGAUAUUCUCCGGCUUUGAUGCCUUCAAGGCUGGUCGUAGGUGUUGACAGUGUUUGUUCUUGUUUUGUGAGCAGACGAGUAUGCUAUUGAUAAUAAAAGGCUAACUAAGAGUGGUUGAGAGAACUUGGUUCGUAGGGUCCAUGAAUAGCAUGGGAGCAUUCGUUAGACCGAAGGGUAUCGCAAUGAAUUUGAAAUGGUCGUGACGAGUUCGGAAAGCAGUUUUUGAAAUGUCGUCUUCUCAGACUCGAGUCGUUGAUAACCGAUUCUUAGAUCUAUUUUAGAGAAGUAGUUAGCUCCUUGGAGCUGGCCAAAUAGAUCGUCAGUCCGAGGAAGUGGGUAUCGAUUUUUGAUGGGAAGCUUACUCAAUUUCCUAAAAUCGAUGUACCUUCUGAAGGAUCCAUCUUCUUGAAGAACAAGAUCGGAGCUGUUUCAAGAAGAGAAGCUUGGUCUAAUGAAUCCUUUGCUCAGAAAGUUUCUUGUUUGUCUGGAUAACUUCUGAAUUUCACCGGAAGCUAACCUAUAGGGUGAAUUGGCAAUUGAUGUGGCUCCCGUUAUUAGGUCGAUUUGAAAUUCGACCUGUCUCUCUGGGAUAUUCUCGAAAGUUCUUCGGGAAACACAUCAGGAAAAUCACAUGCUACUGGAAUACCUUGUUUGCCUACCUCUUCUUUGGUCUUGUCCACAACAUGAGUGAGGAAAACGUAGUUCUUCUGGUGCAGGCACUUCUGUGCCUUGAUGCACGAGAUAGGAAGAGGAUUGGUGCCAGGUUUAUCACCAUGGAUUAUUAGAGUUUUGUGAUUAGGAAGGUGAAGGCAAACGGCCCUCUCACAACACAUAUCAUUAUCAUGGUGGGGGCUUAACCCAUCCAUGUCGAUUAUCAUGUCAAAACUCCUAAUAUUUACUGGUAUCAAGUCUAUUGAAAUGAAUGAUUGUUUAGUGUUAAGAUGUUCCCUACAUAAUUAUCUUUGGUUGAUUCGGUUUUUCCAUUGAUCAUCUCCACCGUUAAGGAUUAGUUUAGCCUUUGGGAUUGUUGUUUUAGUAAGUGCUCGACUUUGUUACUAACGAAGCUUCGCUCAGCUUCACUAUUGAAUAAGAGGUAAGAGAAAUAGUUGUUAAGUGGGAACAUACCAGUAACAAUUGUCGGGUCUUGAUCUGCUUUGCCUUAUCCCAAGGUCAGGAUCAUUUCUGAUCCUUCUGCUCCUUGAUUGUUAUCCUUGGGGCAAUUGCGCCUGAAGUGACCAAUUCCUCCACACCCAUAGCAGGUGUGAAUGGUCUCACCAUUGGUGUUGUUGUUAGGGUUGUUGCGAUUGUUGUCGUUUUCAUUUGGCUGACGAUUCUGGCAUGGAUAAGUUCUACAGAAUUUGGCGGUAUGAUUGUUUCCGUUGCAUUUGUUACAAUGCAUCUCCUGGCAUGCUCCAUUAUGAUGGAAUUUGCACUGGUUGCAUUUUGGUAGGAUUCCAACAUAUGGUCUCCUGGUUGUUGGUGUAAUAGGGGUCAUGGUCGCAUGAACAGCAACAACAUGUUGCUUCCUUGAGAACCCUUGAGUGGGAUGUCCCUUUCUCUUAUUUCCAGACCUCAGCUUCCUGCUCUUAAGCUCGGGGUGUGGAGUUCCUUGAUAGGUUUUCACUUGUUGGUUUCCAUGUUUGCUCCGUUUGAUGGAGUUGUCAUGGGUAUUCCCGUCUCCAUUGGGGUUGUUUGUAUUGAUUUGCGCCAUCGCAGCGGUUACUGCCGCCGCUACAGCAGCUUGGAAUGUAGCAGAGUCCAUCUGCAGGAGCGGUGUCUCGCGGGUGCGCUUGUUAUUCUUGCGGGAUGGCAUUUUCCUGAUGCACGUUGAUAAUCCAGAUCGUAAGUGAUGAUCUUCAUUCCUGGUUGUACUCUAUAAUUUCGCAUCUUGUUGUAUAAUUCUUACUACUCCCAUCUACAUCCCUAUGAUGUAUUUAUGGUAGUAGGUAAUCACCGAUUUGGCACGAUCGUUACUUCUACCCCAGAGGAUAUGGAUUGUUUCGGUUUCGAGGUCCUUAAGUACCAUCUUAGUACACGAAGGAGAGUCAUAUCGGAUAGUGAGGGGGAAAAGAAAAGGUUGAUCCUAAUUGUGGCAGAAAGUGUCUGGUGGUGGNGAUGAAGUGGAUGCACCUCGGAGACGAGCUACUUGUUGCUCGGUAUCUCGUAGGCGUACCUCCCAAACUAACUGUCUCACUCGAGAGUCUCCAUUCACUUCCCGUGCUUGCCUCUCAUCCCUCUCAAUAGCAAACCGCAUUUGUUCCGUUCGAUUUGGGGUGUCUUGAGCUUGGUUAUCAAUACCUCGGGUGCGUCGGACCAAGACUGGGAGGACCCGGUCGGCUGGUCCUCUGUGACUAAGAUUAAAGAGACCUCAGCUCUUACUGCAGUGUGGUCGUAUUCCCUACUGGUGACUCUAUCUCCAAAUUUCAUAUGCCCAAGGGGGCAUGGGGCCACCGGGGCCCACACGAUAAGUCGGUACUCCGAAUUUUCAUGAAUGAUUGAUGACAUCAGAUUCUGCAUCAGAUUCAUCAUCAUCAUUGCCCUUGGGCUCUUCCUCUUCGAGGUCCACUAUUGACUCAGCGGGUUCACCUGCGAGUUCUACUUCGUGUUCCUCCUGUGGUUCUUCCUCUGGGUCGAGCCACCCUACUAUUCCUUGACUAGGGAGAUAGGGUUUCCCGGCUAAUGAUACUUGUCUACAGCGUAUUGCACGAAGGACUAUGAAUACUAGAAUCAAAUAGUAUACCAAUUACUCCUAUAAUUCUACAACUAUUGCAUAGAUUUAGUUGAGGUUCCCUUCUUGGAGAUUAAGGGGUAUGUUUUUAGAUUCCCUAGCUAUCACGAUUCCUUCAAGACAUGUGAUGGUUGUACCUUGGAGGGAAUGUAGUUGAUCAGGCUACAUCCGCUCCUUGAUACAACUAAGAACAGUCCUGGAUUAACCGAGAUACUAGCAUUAUCUUGUUUGGUUCGGUAUUAUGUUCUUUUUCCUAAUACAAGCAAGGGUGUUUUAUUGUUAUGUUUUACUUGUUUUGUUCAGAGUUGUGUUAGUCCCUCUUUUGGUUUAUAGUUGCAUAUCAAUGUGUGGCUAGAUAUGCUAGUUCACUAUAAACAAAGCUCUGAUACCAACCUGUCACACCCCCGAACCAGACGGCGGAAACGUCCGAGGGCUGUUGUGACUCAAUUGAAUACCAUCACAGUGAAUAUACAUGAAACAUAACAUCAUUCAUCACCAUGCAUUGAAAUAGUACAACUGGUAGUGUUUACAUUUAGUACAUUGUUUCAUAACAUUACAUUCCCAAAAAGUAGAUUGUUCGAUACUAGUUAAACAAACAACAAGACAUCACUGAGUACAUUUUUCCCUUCGAUUUACCUGUUACCUGAGAAUACAAGUAUUUUGAAAAACGUCAACAUAUGAAAUGUUGGUGAGUUCAUAAGUAAUGUUUGAAAUAUAAUGUUUUGUAUUGUUUUGAAAACCACCAGAAAAUCCGAUAUUUUCUGAAAAGAGUUUAUGAAAAAGUUUGUGAAGAUCCAUAAGUAUGCUUGUUUGUUUCUAUAGUUGUAAAAAUUGUUCAUUAAACUUGUGUACAUUUCGAAACCGUAUGUAUUGAAAAACCCUAGGAAAACCCGAUGUUUUCCUAACACUUUGAAUUCCAUGUAGUUGUAGUACCAUCGCGGCGUGUGAAGUCAUUGAUUCCAGGCGACGUCGGAUUAUUGUGCAUGGUGAAUUGCUAUAAACACGCGUUACACAAACGACCUGUUUACAACUAUACUAACGAUCCCGUAGGCGUCGUCCGUACUAUUCAUGUAAUCCAACCGCCCUGACUUCUUGUAGUCCCACAUCCGAAGAGAAAGAUGGCACGAAGACCUCGAUAACUCCGUUAGUCGGUUGGGGAUAAAAAGUGUGCGAAGGGCCCUUGACCCGACUUGCAUUUGCAUAACUGACUUUACUAGCAAUACCAAAGGACCCUUGGGGACCAAUAGUAUAAAAGCCAUUGAAAGUCCUUUUACGUUGUGUUGGAUCAUGUAAGACCCAACAACUCGUAUGGUUGAAGUCUUCGGGCCUAAAGAUCAAGUCAUUGGGCUAGCUAGGCCCAACAAACAGGAUUUUACACUUUUGGGCCCAAACGUGGUGCGUCGACGUCUGUGCACUCUCACGUGUGUAUUGAUUUCCCAAAUUUUAUGUGUAUGAGUCGAGUUAUCGUCGUGUUAGUAGUUUCGUGUUUGUUAUUGAUUCGAGACCGAAUCAAUUCGUUUGAUAACGAUUUUUGGUGUUGUUGUGUAAUAUAAUUCGUCGGUAGUUGCAGUGCCAGUGUUUGAUCACAACGGAUGUAUUGGAUUAACAUUGCAACUUUUCUGUUACAGUNUGUAAUAUAAUUCGUCGGUAGUUGCAGUGCCAGUGUUUGAUCACAACAAAUGUAUUGAAUUAACAUUGCAACUUUUCUGUUACAGCCCCUCUUUUUGUUGUAAAUUUACUUUUUCACCCCUUUGAAUAAAUAAAUUUCCGGUUUAGUCCUUAAACCAUUUUUCUUGACAUUUUAACACCAAAACUUAUUGAAAUUGAUAUUUUUCAGCAUAUUUUUAGUUGAAAACAAUUUUAGUCCCUGAAAGUACAGUUUUCUCGGUUAUAACCCCUCUUUUCGCAAUUUUUACACUUUUGGCCCAAAUUGGAAAAUUUUUGCAACUUUGGUCCUUUUUAAUUAUGGAAAGCAUUUUUAACCUUUGAAAAGGACUUAUAACACUAAUAGUCCACUGUUUUACCGAAAAACACAUUUUCAGCCCUCCAAAAUAGAAAAUUUCACAUAUUAGGCCCUAUUGGGCCGAAAAUGUCAUUUUUAGCCCAUUAAGCUUGAAAUUUAUAUUUUUAAUCCUCCAAAUGAGUAUAUUUCCAGAAAAUAUUUUAUUAAAACUGUUUUGACUCCUCUCAUCCAUCAGAAUUCGUAAUAUGUCAAUUUGGGCCCUUCAACUUUAUUUUUAUUAACAUUUUGUGUUCAAAAAUGAGUUUUUAGCCCAAAGAAGGUGUUAUCAAGUCACUUAGCAAUUUUUCUUGGAAUACUUUGUGUAUAGUAAUAUAAUUUAUGCUAGUAUCAUUUAACAUAACAUAUAUCUCGAUUUUUUAGGAGUUUAUGGCUAGAUCCAACAUCAUAAUCACACAAAAACACACAUAUAAGCAUUGAAAUCAUACAAGACAUACAAAACAUAUAUAGAUCUACACUUUCACUUGUAUUCCCCCCCCCCCCACAAAACUUAUAAAAUAGAAAAUAGAGGGUAUGAAGCUCACCUUGUUUGAAGGUUUUGGUUUUUGAUGAAGAUGUGAAGAGGUUUUUGGCCCUAGCAAGCUUCUUGAGGAGCUUUACAACUUAGAUGGCUCUAAGAUGUAUGAUUCACGAAAUGGAAAGGGUUAAGAGGAGAUUUUGAAGAAACCAAGAAGCUAACCCAUGGAUAUAAGUAAAAACUUACCUAGGAUGAUGAUUUUUGGUGAAGAGUCCUCCUGAAAGCACACACUAACUUGAGAUUUUUGAUGGAAGAGGGAAGAGGUUUUUAGUGUGUUUAAGAGAGUUUUUGAAAGAAAAAUGAAGGUGGUGAGAGGGUUAGCCGAGAAUAUGGAGAGAAGGGAGAGAGAGAUCAUAACCUAGUUAUUUGUGAGGUAAUAGUUAGUCUUGAAACAUGAGAUGCUACCAUAGAUAUAUGGUGGUUAAACAUGAGUUGUCACAUGCAUGUUUGGUCUUCAUUUAUCCAUUCUUUUUUUUUUUUGUAUUUAAU
RNAcentral lists this long non-coding RNA (7645 nucleotides) under Lactuca sativa (garden lettuce). RNAcentral describes it as "long non-coding RNA (LSAT_LNC008485)". The record is from RNAcentral. Lineage: Eukaryota; Viridiplantae; Streptophyta; Magnoliopsida; Asterales; Asteraceae.